This 3566-nucleotide long non-coding RNA is filed under the name Homo sapiens (human). RNAcentral's name for it is "HSALNT0406107". Lineage: Eukaryota; Metazoa; Chordata; Mammalia; Primates; Hominidae. The record is from RNAcentral.
CUCUGGCCCAUGGCCAGUGGCAGGGUUGUGGUGCCAACUCCACUCUGCUGAGAGUGAGCCUAGGGUCUUGGUGUGUGAGUGGUGCUGUGGCCACCCGGUGCUCAGGUCACCAGGGCGGAGGCCUUGCCCUCUUGCCAGCUAGUUUGCUUUACUGGGUUUUGCUUUGGGGAAGGAUCUUCUAUAAAUACCAGUCCAUAGAGCACUUCAUCCUGCUUUCUGGGACGUAAGAACUCAUCCCUCUAAGAAGAGCCUCUGCAACAGAAACCGAAACAGUGCAUCUGCUUAGGAACAAAGCCACUCUCUGUCUGGUGUGGUCAGAGGGUCCCGGAUGUCCCCCCCUCCACUCUGCUGGGCAGGGGCUGUGCCUGCGGAGCUUCCUUCCAGGAUCUGUCCUUCUCAGCUUCCCCAGCCGAGCCGCCAGGGGUCCUGAGGACCACCAUGGCCCCUGAACACUCCUGGAGCUUUGGUGUCAGCCCUGCCACCCGAGAGAGAGAGAGAGACAUGCCUUGGUGUUACUUACUGCACUUGAGCCUGUCUCCUGGAGGGAAAUGAAGAUCAUGAGGCGACGACCCACUUAGAUUGCUGAACACAUCGAGUGGCCAUAGCCGUGAGAAGUGAGAGCUGCCCCUGCCCUACUGAUGGGGAGACAGGUACAGGUGACGGGAGCGUUAGCCGAGAUGUCCACCCAUCCACCACACGCCUAUGGGCACCCUUGUGCCAUGAGGGCUCAGCCUGGGCCCUGGUGGAAGCAGGUACCGGGUCGAUGCUACCUGCAGCCUCAUCAGAGCCUAGCUCUUGGGCAGCGGGCGUGGUUCUGGCCUCUUCACAGCCGAAGUGCAGACAGGGGCUGUGGGCCAAGCUCCUGAAAUUUCCGCCGACAAGGGCAUCUUUCAUGAGUCUUCCUUCUGGGCCCCCUGUUUUGAAACCAAACAAGGAUGCAGAUUUCUGCCAAUCCCGAUGAGCUCGGCAUGAGCACAGGCUCUGUUCCCACGCGGAGGUGAUGUCAGCCCCGAGCAGAGACAGGCGCUUGGCAUUCCACGAGCCUGGGCGGCCGCGUCAGGGACAGACACAGUGUCUGACAGCUGGCUUUGAGAAAUACUGACACCAGUUCACAGACUCCAUUCCUACCUUCAGGGACCCCCAGAAAGGUGAAAGGACCCCAGGUUGUGUGACCAGUCACCUGAUCCAGCCCCUUCUUGUCCUGGUUCUCCCAUCACAGAGGGGCCAGGGCAGGGCAGGAGUGGGCCUGAGAGCCCAUGGCUGGUUUCCACAUGCGCCAUGAUUAAGCUCCUGCACUCGGCAUUUCAGUAAAGCCAUCUUGUGGUACAGACAGUGCUGACAUCAGAACCUUCCGUGGAUCCAGCCUCCUACCUCCGGGUACCUGCUGUGUGGGAGUCACUCCCCUCCCCCAGCCCUGGAUGCUCCUCCAGUCAUCCCAGUAGCUCAGGGCCAGCCCCUGGGAUGUGUCUAAGAACAUGAGUGGACAAAUAGAUGGACUGCCCAGAGCAGGGUUUCUGAGACUUCGCUGCAGGAUAUGUCAUCGCCCUGCAGAAAACUACCCCCACCCUAGGACCCCCCGAGUUUUGGGGUUUGUAAGAAAUUACAUGUCUCAUUUAUUUUGAACAGGUGAAUUUUGCAGUCAAAUUCUUGUGUUCCAUUUUAGUACAAAAAUAGCAUUAUCUUUUCAAAAGUAACAUUUUGAAAUUACUCAUCAAAUAAAUUGAUGCUUCAGGAAGAGCUGUGUCAAUCCUGUAGGUUUAUAGAUCUGCGCUUCACAGGAAACCCCAGCAGGUCCCCGGCUGCCGGGCCCAGGUGAUCCUAAUGAAACUCUCCACUGCUCAGGGCCAGGUGCCUUGCUGGGAGCUUGCAAAGCCUUCACUCCCGCGGCCCUCACCCAGCCCCUGAAGGGCAGCGAUUUGUGUCUGAAGGUUCGCUGGGUCCUACUGCUGGCGCCCAUUUUACAGAUGUGGAAAAGCAAGCACAGACCAGUUAAGGAGCUUGGGCAGAGUGACUGGGAGACAGUUCAGCUCCGUAUCAGAAAGGGCUUUCUAAGCGUGCGUGCUGUCACAUGUAAGCGGCUCCCUGUGGGUGGUGGGCCCCCUUCCCCACCACCACCCUGACAUCACAGGUGUGAGCAGCCACCGCACACACUGGGCAUCACAUGGGCCGGGGAGCCUGGCUCUACAGCACAGUCCUUUGGCCAUGAAGAGGGGGUGGUAGUGAAGAUACAGAGUCCUUGGCUUGAUAGGAGGUGGGGCUGACAGCCUCCCAUCUUCCAGCCUGCCCCAAGACCACGUGACCUUUCCUGACCUGGUGCUUCUGUAAGUCCCACCUCCCGGGUGCCCCUGGGCGACCUUGGCCCAUAAAUCUCUUUGAUCCCCAUCUCAUCUUCAAAUGAAGGUUUACAGCUCAGCUUUUUAAAAAAAUAAAAAUAACUAGUAGGUUCUGGCUGGGCACGGUGGCUCACGCCUAUAAUCCCAGCACUUUGGGAGGCCAAGGCAGGUGGAUCACCUGAGGUCAGGAGUUUGAGACCAGCCUGGCCAACAUGGUAAAAUCCCAUCUCUACUAAAAAUACAAAAAAGUAGCCAGGCGUUGUGGUGCAUGCCUGUAGUCCCAGCUACUCAGGAGGCUGAGGCAGGAGAAUCACUUGCACCCUGGAGGCGGAGGUUGCAGUGAGUGGAGAUUGUGCCACUAUACUCCAGCCUGGGCAACAGAGCGAGACUCCGUCUCAAAAAAAAGAAAAAAAAAAAGGAGUUCUAACUACGUUCCAGGUAUGUAGCUGACGUGUAAUAUCUCAUUUAACCUGGCAAAGAGUUGGUAUCCGUGGCCUCAGAGAGGUUUAGAAAGUUGCCCAAGAUCACACAGGAGCAAAGAUUUAAACUCUGGACUUUUCUUCAUGUGUCAUGAAGUUUCCUCCUGAUUUUCAGAGACCCUUCCAGGCCUGCAAGCGAUUUGACAGCCAUCCCUCAGUGCCAACUAAACCUCCUGGGCAGCCUGACCCCAGGGUAGGAAGGAAGCGCCUACACCAAGGGGCCCUCUGGGAGCUGAGAUCAUCCUGGGGUUUUGUCGCCUGGUCUGACUUGUGCACUGGGAUCUUCUCGUGCCAGGCCAGGCCCCGCCCCCUCCCCGGGACUGGGCAGACCCCCUCCCUCAUGCAUCUGUGUCCACUGAGGCUUCCCUCACCUAGAAUGGCCCAUCCUUCAGGACCCAGCUCACUCUCAUCUUCUUUCCAGGGACUUAUCCCCCAAGGCUGUCCUCUGUUCUGGUGAGCUCAGGGCUCUUGGAACUUGGUCUGCAGUGACUCUGGGGUUCCUGGUUAGGACCCAUGUUCUCUAGGUCCCAGCACCCUGCACGGGGCAGUGUUUGUGACACUGGGCCCAGCUAUUCUGAGAGAAGGACUCCAACCUUCCAUCAGGUGUGGCCCGAGAUGUGGGUGGCCCUGGGCAUGGGGCAUGGAUGCAUUGUGACUUUCAUGGGCCUCUUCUGCAAAAAAAAAAUUAAAAUUAUACUUUAUGACUAUUGGUAGAAAGAUAAAUAUAUUAAUACAUUAAAAUUUCUCUUUGAGU